Molecule: ribosomal RNA, 432 nt
Filed under: uncultured bacterium
Lineage: Bacteria
Description: partial 16S ribosomal RNA
Rfam family: Bacterial small subunit ribosomal RNA
Source: RNAcentral
ACGAACGCUGGCGGCAUGCCUAACACAUGCAAGUCGAACGAGACCUUCGGGUCUAGUGGCGCACGGGUGCGUAACGCGUGGGAACCUGCCCUUAGGUUCGGAAUAACUCCCCGAAAGGGGUGCUAAUACCGGAUAAUGUCUUCGGACCAAAGAUUUAUCGCCUUUGGAUGGGCCCGCGUUGGAUUAGCUAGUUGGUAGGGUAAAAGCCUACCAAGGCGACGAUCCAUAGCUGGUCUGAGAGGAUGAUCAGCCACACUGGGACUGAGACACGGCCCAGACUACUACGGGACGCGCCAGUGGGGAAUAUUGGACAAUGGGCGAAAGUCUGAUCCAGCAAUGCCGCGUGAGUGAUAAAGGCCUAAGGGUUGUAAAGCUCUUUUACCCGGGAUGAUAAUGACAGUACCGAGAGAAUAAGCACCGGCUAGCUCCGUG